This 870-nucleotide ribosomal RNA is filed under the name Clavulina reae. RNAcentral describes it as "LSU rRNA". It matches the Rfam family "Eukaryotic large subunit ribosomal RNA", at positions 78 to 956 of the family's 3401-position model. The record is from RNAcentral. Lineage: Eukaryota; Fungi; Basidiomycota; Agaricomycetes; Cantharellales; Hydnaceae.
CCCUAGUAACGGCGAGUGAAGCGGGAAGAGCUCAAAUUUAAAAUCUGGCAAUCUUUGGUUGUCCGAAUUGUAAUCUAGAGAAGCGUUUUCCGUGCUGGACUGUGUACAAGUUUCCUGGAUACGGAACAUCAUAGAGGGUGAGAAUCCCGUCCUUGACACAGACUCCCAGCACUUUUGUGAUGCGCUCUCGACGAGUCGAGUUGUUUGGGAUUGCAGCUCAAAAUGGGAGGUAAAUUCCUUCUAAAGCUAAAUAUUGGCGAGAGACCGAUAGCGAACAAGUACCGUGAGGGAAAGAUGAAAAGCACUUUGGAAAGAGAGUUAAACAGUACGUGAAAUUGUUAAAAGGGAAACGCUUGAAGUCAGUCACGUUUGCUUGGACUCAGCCUUACUUCGGUUUGGUGCAUUUCCUUGCAGACGGGCCAGCGUCCAUGUCAAUUGCCGGAAAAGGGGUGAGAGAAUGUGGCUCCUUUGGGAGUGUUAUAGCUCUCACUCGUAUGCGGGGAAUGAUAUGGAGUGGUACAGCACACUUCGGUGGUGCUUGUGCUGGCAUAAUGGCUUUAAACGACCCGUCUUGAAACACGGACCAAGGAGUCUAACAUGUCUGCGAGUAUUUGGGUGGAAAACCCAGGUGCGUAAUGAAAGUGACAGCUGGGAACCCCUUCUGGGAGGCACCGGCACCCCGAGCUGACCUUCUGUGACGCAUCGGAGGCAGAGCAUAUAUGUUGGGACCCGAAAGAUGGUGAACUAUGCCUGAAUAGGGCGAAGCCAGAGGAAACUCUGGUGGAGGCUCGUAGCGAUUCUGACGUGCAAAUCGAUCGUCAAAUUUGGGUAUAGGGGCGAAAGACUAAUCGAACCAUCUAGUAGCUGGUU